Molecule: ribosomal RNA, 253 nt
Filed under: uncultured bacterium
Lineage: Bacteria
Description: partial 16S ribosomal RNA
Rfam family: Bacterial small subunit ribosomal RNA
Source: RNAcentral
UACGGAGGGUGCAAGCGUUAUCCGGAUUCACUGGGUUUAAAGGGUGCGUAGGUGGGCAGUUAAGUCAGUGGUGAAAUCUCCGGGCUCAACCCGGAAACUGCCAUUGAUACUAUCUGUCUUGAAUAUCGUGGAGGUAAGCGGAAUAUGUCAUGUAGCGGUGAAAUGCUUAGAUAUGACAUAGAACACCAAUUGCGAAGGCAGCCUACUACAGGGACAUUGACACUGAGGCACGAAAGCGUGGGGAUCAAACAGG